UACAGAGGUCUCAAGCGUUGUUCGGAUUCAUUGGGCGUAAAGGGUGCGUAGGCGGCGCGGUAAGUCGGGUGUGAAAUCUUGGAGCUUAACUCCGAAACUGCAUUCGAUACUGCCGUGCUUGAGGACUGGAGAGGAGACUGGAAUUUACGGUGUAGCGGUGAAAUGCGUAGAUAUCGUAAGGAAGACCAGUGGCGAAGGCGGGUCUCUGGACAGUUCCUGACGCUGAGGCACGAAGGUCAGGGAAGCAAACGGG
Molecule: ribosomal RNA, 253 nt
Filed under: uncultured bacterium
Lineage: Bacteria
Description: partial 16S ribosomal RNA
Rfam family: Bacterial small subunit ribosomal RNA
Source: RNAcentral